Molecule: ribosomal RNA, 317 nt
Filed under: uncultured bacterium
Lineage: Bacteria
Description: bacterial SSU rRNA
Rfam family: Bacterial small subunit ribosomal RNA
Source: RNAcentral
AGCUGCAGAAGAAGCACCGGCUAACUCCGUUGCCAGCAGCCGCGGUAAUACGGAGGGUGCGAGCGUUAAUCGGAAUUACUGGGCGUAAAGCGCAUGCAGGUGGUUUGUUAAGUCAGAUGUGAAAGCCCGGGGCUCAACCUCGGAAUUGCAUUUGAAACUGGCAAACUAGAGUACUGUAGAGGGGGUAGAAUUUCAGGUGUAGCGGUGAAAUGCGUAGAGAUCUGAAGGAAUACCGGUGGCGAAGGCGGCCCCCUGGACAGAUACUGACACUCAGAUGCGAAAGCGUGGGGAGCAAACAGGAUUAGAUACCCUGGUAG